GACGAACGCUGGCGGCGUGCUUAACACAUGCAAGUCGAACGGAAAGGCCCUGCUUGCAGGGUACUCGAGUGGCGAACGGGUGAGUAACACGUGGGUGAUCUGCCCUGCACUUCGGGAUAAGCCUGGGAAACUGGGUCUAAUACCGGAUAGGAGCCAUUUUUAGUGUGAUGGUUGGAAAGUUUUUUCGGUGUAGGAUGAGCUCGCGGCCUAUCAGCUUGUUGGUGGGGUAAUGGCCUACCAAGGCGGCGACGGGUAGCCGGCCUGAGAGGGUGGACGGCCACAUUGGGACUGAGAUACGGCCCAGACUCCUACGGGAGGCAUCAGUGGGGAAUAUUGCACAAUGGGCGCAAGCCUGAUGCAGCGACGCCGCGUGGGGGAUGACGGCCUUCGGGUUGUAAACUCCUUUCGCUAGGGACGAAGCUUUUUGUGACGGUACCUAGAUAAGAAGCACCGGCUAACUACGUG
Molecule: ribosomal RNA, 465 nt
Filed under: uncultured bacterium
Lineage: Bacteria
Description: partial 16S ribosomal RNA
Rfam family: Bacterial small subunit ribosomal RNA
Source: RNAcentral